UUUAAUUUAUUGGGUAUUGGA
RNAcentral lists this non-coding RNA (21 nucleotides) under Caenorhabditis elegans. Lineage: Eukaryota; Metazoa; Nematoda; Chromadorea; Rhabditida; Rhabditidae. The record is from RNAcentral.